UGGGGAAUAUUGGACAAUGGGCGCAAGCCUGAUCCAGCCAUGCCGCGUGAGUGAUGAAGGCCCUAGGGUUGUAAAGCUCUUUCACCGGUGAAGAUAAUGACGGUAACCGGAGAAGAAGCCCCGGCUAACUUCGUGCCAGCAGCCGCGGUAAUACGAAGGGGGCUAGCGUUGUUCGGAUUUACUGGGCGUAAAGCGCACGUAGGCGGACUAUUAAGUCAGGGGUGAAAUCCCGGGGCUCAACCCCGGAACUGCCUUUGAUACUGGUAGUCUUGAGUUCGAGAGAGGUGAGUGGAAUUCCGAGUGUAGAGGUGAAAUUCGUAGAUAUUCGGAGGAAAACCAGUGGCGAAGGCGGCUCACUGGCUAGAUACUGACGCUGAGGUGCGAAAGCGUGGGGAGCAAACAGG
RNAcentral lists this ribosomal RNA (404 nucleotides) under Actinomycetes bacterium. RNAcentral describes it as "Actinobacteria bacterium partial 16S ribosomal RNA". It matches the Rfam family "Bacterial small subunit ribosomal RNA", at positions 355 to 776 of the family's 1533-position model. The record is from RNAcentral. Lineage: Bacteria; Bacillati; Actinomycetota; Actinomycetes.